RNAcentral lists this transfer RNA (75 nucleotides) under Leucothrix mucor. RNAcentral describes it as "tRNA-Glu". It matches the Rfam family "tRNA". From Rfam's summary of the family: Transfer RNA (tRNA) molecules are approximately 80 nucleotides in length. Their secondary structure includes four short double-helical elements and three loops (D, anti-codon, and T loops). Further hydrogen bonds mediate the characteristic L-shaped molecular structure. tRNAs have two regions of fundamental functional importance: the anti-codon, which is responsible for specific mRNA codon recognition, and the 3' end, to which the tRNAs corresponding amino acid is attached (by aminoacyl-tRNA synthetases). tRNAs cope with the degeneracy of the genetic code in two manners: having more than one tRNA (with a specific anti-codon) for a particular amino acid; and 'wobble' base-pairing, i.e. permitting non-standard base-pairing at the 3rd anti-codon position. Lineage: Bacteria; Pseudomonadati; Pseudomonadota; Gammaproteobacteria; Thiotrichales; Thiotrichaceae. The record is from RNAcentral. RNAcentral also lists the same sequence under 1 other name.
GUCCCCAUCGUCUAGUGGUUAGGACACCGCCCUUUCACGGCGGUAACCGGGGUUCAAAUCCCCGUGGGGACGCCA